GCUGAUGUAGCUCAGUGGUAGAGCACGUCCUUGGUAAGGACGGGGUCGCCGGUUCAAAUCCGGCCAUCAGCU
This 72-nucleotide transfer RNA is filed under the name Bacteroidota bacterium. RNAcentral's name for it is "tRNA-Thr". It matches the Rfam family "tRNA". From Rfam's summary of the family: Transfer RNA (tRNA) molecules are approximately 80 nucleotides in length. Their secondary structure includes four short double-helical elements and three loops (D, anti-codon, and T loops). RNAcentral also lists the same sequence under 3 other names. Lineage: Bacteria; Pseudomonadati; Bacteroidota. The record is from RNAcentral.